ACACCGAGCGAACUCAAAGCCUGUCUCAGUUCGGAUCGGAGUCUGNAACCCGACUCCGUGAGGCUGGAUUCGCUAGUAAUCGCGCAUCAGCCAUGGCGCGGUGAAUACGUUCCCGGGCCUUGUACACACCCGCCCGUCAAGCCAUGGAAGCCGGGAGUGCCUGAAGUAUGCAACCGCAAGGAGCGUCCUAAGGUAAAACCGGUGACUGGGGCUAAGUCGUAACAAGGUAGC
Molecule: ribosomal RNA, 231 nt
Filed under: uncultured bacterium
Lineage: Bacteria
Description: partial 16S ribosomal RNA
Rfam family: Bacterial small subunit ribosomal RNA
Source: RNAcentral